CCCGAGCCAUCUGUAUUGUUCUGUAGCAUCAAUAUCAAGAUCAAGAUCACCAAGUCCACCAUUGUUAGUGUUAUGGUGGUCAGCUGAUCAGGCCUGACACGUAAUUCCUUCAGUAUUUCCCUUGUGUCAGAAUGUCCACGAUGGUCAACAAAUAUGAUGCACUCAAGAAUAAUGAGGAAUCUGGAGAAGAGGACAAUGGUGGCAGGGAUUUGAAGGAGAUGGAAAAGCCUUUGCCACCAGUGGAGGUGAAGCCUGGAGACCAUCGGCUACAGUUCACCUACAACAUUUGGUUCAGCCGAAGAGCACCAGGCAAGCAGGCAACCACGCAGAACUAUGAUCAGAACCUCAAAUUAAUUGGCAGAUUUGCCUCAGUGGAGCAGUUUUGGGCUUACUACAGUCGUCUGGUACGACCAGCAGACCUCAACUCUCACUCGGACAUACACAUCUUCAAGGAUGGCAUCAAGCCCAUGUGGGAGGAUGCGGCCAACAAAAAUGGAGGCAAGUGGAUAGUGCGGUUAAGGAAGGGCCUUGCCUCCCGGUGCUGGGAGAACAUGAUCCUGGCCAUGCUGGGGGAACAGUUCAUGGUUGGAGACGAGAUAUGUGGUGCAGUCAUUUCUGUACGCUUUCAGGAGGACAUCAUCUCAGUGUGGAACCGGACGGCACAGGACACGGCCACCACCACUCGUAUCCGAGACACACUCAAGCGUGUGCUCAACCUGCCGCCCAACACCGUCAUGGAAUACAAGACUCACAAUGACUCCCUCAAGCCUCUUGCACUGACCCUCGCUAGGCACACCCACCACUCCACCAGCAGCUUCCUCCGCAAACCUGGCCCCCUCCACUGAUGUCUCCAUCCCCACAACCUUCCCUAUUUGCCUGGAAGUGAGAAGGAGGAGGAGGAGGAAGGAAGGGAAGUCUGUUCGGGAAAGGAGGGGAGAGGCAGAUUAUACUGGAAUUCAGGCGAGGCACCGGCUAUUCCCUGUUUGGCUGUAGAUCACUCCAGCUUCCGCAACACCAGGGCGGACGGCUACAACCACAGAGCUGAGUCCUUCCCGAGAUAAGAUGGUGUGGUUACCCUCAGAUAGUCCUGCCAGUCGCCUCCAGCCUCCACCUCACUCCUUGUAUACAUAGCUGCUAAAUAGACCUUUAUCAAGUCAC
Molecule: unclassified non-coding RNA, 1158 nt
Filed under: Portunus trituberculatus (swimming crab)
Lineage: Eukaryota; Metazoa; Arthropoda; Malacostraca; Decapoda; Portunidae
Description: eukaryotic translation initiation factor 4E type 2- like, transcript variant X3
Source: RNAcentral